This 1191-nucleotide long non-coding RNA is filed under the name Equus caballus (horse). Its description in RNAcentral is "lncRNA (ENSECAG00000048682.1)". Lineage: Eukaryota; Metazoa; Chordata; Mammalia; Perissodactyla; Equidae. The record is from RNAcentral.
GAAAGAUCUCUCUCUCUCCCUCUCCCCUUCAUGAAAAAGAGAGAAAGCAUUUAACCCUCGAGUGUUCAGUUAGUUUCCUCAGCAACACUGGUCAAGAGUGGUCGCAGCUCCACCCACAUCUGGGCACCCAGGAGGGGCAGGAGCCGCUCUUGGCAGGAAGGCCGCCUGCUGGGCCAGGUCAGGGAUGGCACCUGGACCUGUCACCACACGGCUUCUGUAGAUGCUGGAGGAGCAGCAUGUGGAGCCGGAGCGCCACAGGAGCCUUACGGGACUGCUGGUCACUCCUGCUUCCUGGCCCACUGAUCUCUGUCCAGAGGAAGUCCUGGCUUCAGGGAGCUGAAGCUCAGCCUCAGGCGGAGCACGUCUGCCUGCCCGAACUUCACUGCCGGCUCCCUCCUUCUUGGAGCCCUCUUCAAGUUAUUUAGAUAAUCACAGGCUCUCCUCUAUUUUGAUAGCAUCAGCUGUUAGAUAACCACAGAGUCUCCUCCAUUUUGAUGGUAUCAUCAGCCGUAAUCUUGUCAUGAUAAACCAAUUGUGCUGAAUCUUUUUUAGUCUAUCUGUUUGAGGUUUCCAGAGAAUUUUUCUAGUGCUUAUCUGAUUAACUGGGGCCAAUUCACUAAGCUCCCAAGUAAUGGAAUCUGCUUUGAGUUCCAAGACAUUGAAACAAAGACGCUAAGACAAAGAUGGCUGAACUAAAAAUUCGUAGUACAACAAAGACUAUGUCGUGGAGACAAAGAGAAAGACCACAGGACAGAAUUUAUAUAGCUACAGAGAUGGGGGAGUGGCAGCUACCUCAAUCCUAAAUGGCAAAUGUGUCACAGAGUCAAAGCGGCCUCCUUUUCUGUUUGGCCAGCACGGCAUUGUCUUUGAAGCAGUGGACUAAUUUUGAAUCUGCUACAAGGCUAUCAAGAUCCUUCGGGAACAAAGGAAGAUCUACGAGAAACUAAGCACAGCGUCUACCCACACAGGAUGGAAUCUGGACAGAAGGAGGGUGAGGUUGAGAGACAGAAUUUUUGCAGUGUAAGGGUUUACAGGCAUGCGCUGCAUAGGGAUGUGCACUCUAUGAUGUUCGCACAGUGACGGAGUCGCCUAACGACACAUUUCUCAGAAUGCAUUCCCGUCAUUAAGUGACUCAUGCCUGUACACUUUUUGGGUUUUGAACCAUGUGAAUGUAUUACUCCUUUAAAAAAA